RNAcentral lists this ribosomal RNA (777 nucleotides) under uncultured Neocallimastigales. RNAcentral describes it as "partial large subunit ribosomal RNA". It matches the Rfam family "Eukaryotic large subunit ribosomal RNA", at positions 25 to 628 of the family's 3401-position model. Lineage: Eukaryota; Fungi; Neocallimastigomycota; Neocallimastigomycetes; Neocallimastigales. The record is from RNAcentral.
ACACUGACGUCGCGACGCAUAUCAAUAAGCGGAGGAAAAGAAACUAACAAGGAUUCCCUUAGUAACGGCGAGUGAAGCGGGAAGAGCUCAAAUUUGAAAUCUUCAAGGUUCUACCUUGACGAAUUGUAGUUUAAAGAAGUGUUUUCUGUUAGAUGAGUAGGCAAAAGUUCCUUUGGAAUAGGGACAUCAUAGAGGGUGAGAAUCCCGUAUUUGGUCAUUCCUUCUAGCUUUGUGAUACACUUUCAAAGAGUCGGAUUGUUUGGGAAUGCAGUCCAAAAUGGGUGGUAAAUUUCAUCUAAAGCUAAAUAUUGGCGAGAGACCGAUAGCGAACAAGUACCGUGAGGGAAAGAUGAAAAGAACUUUGAAAAGAGAGUUAAACAGUACGUGAAAUUGUCAAAAGGGAAGCGUUUGACACCAGUGUUGUUUUUCCGAAAAUCAAUUAUAAAUGUUUUGUUUCUGAGGAGUGAUGACUUCAUCGGCUUCCUUCUCUCUUCACGAAACUUUUGUAACGCACUUUUCGGUUAACAAGUCAACAUCAAUUUCUUUUGUUGUAAAAGAGUAUUCGGAAGGUGGCUUUCUUUUCGGAGAAAGUGUUUAUAGCCCUAUACUUCUACAAUCGGAGAGAUUGAGGUCUGCAGCGUAGAUCCUUCGGGGUUAGAUACACUUGUGCUAAGUUAUAGCUUUUCAUAGACAACUUGUUGACUAUGUUUAGUCUUGUAGCUUACUCGCUUGUGCUAUUUUACCUACGCUUAGGAUGUUGAGUCGUAGAGCACGCAG